AGGGUCAUAGGUUAAAAAUAAAACCCUUGGCCUUCAAAGCCGAAAAUGCGAAGGCUGACCUUA
This 63-nucleotide transfer RNA is filed under the name Leucophytia bidentata (two-toothed white snail). RNAcentral's name for it is "Auriculinella bidentata (two-toothed white snail) tRNA-Trp". The record is from RNAcentral. Lineage: Eukaryota; Metazoa; Mollusca; Gastropoda; Ellobiida; Ellobiidae.